This is a long non-coding RNA of Thamnophis elegans (Western terrestrial garter snake), 2437 nucleotides long. RefSeq lists it as uncharacterized. The record is from RefSeq and is a predicted model, not a curated record. The transcript has 6 exons. NCBI's taxonomy places the organism in Eukaryota, Metazoa, Chordata, Lepidosauria, Squamata, Natricidae.
CUUUCGACCCAAGCCUUUGCAGGUAGACCUCUUCUUAGUGACUGAACCUCAGAAAACAAACAGAAAAUAGCCUCUUGGCAUACAACCUCAGUUGAAGAACCUACGGAAGACGAUGAAAAUUCUCCUCUCCUUGGGAACUCGGAGGACAUGUUUAAAGCUCAUCCAGAGUUGAAAUCAAACCAAAAAACUAUUAUGACUUCCAGUGGAAAAUCUGCCUGAAUCCAGAUGUACAGAAGCUGGAGAAAUUUGAACUUUUAUUAGAAGUUAAACAUGAGGGCUUUCAGCAUGGAUUGUGUACUAAAACCAAAUCAUUUAAAGUCAUAGCCUUACCAGUGCUUCAUAAAAUUCAUUGUUCCACAAAUGUUCCAAGACCAAAUGAACCGCUCACUCUUAGUUGCAAAAUUCAUUCUUAUUUUCCGGAAACGCUUGAAGUCUGUUGGAAUAACGAUGAUGGAAUUCUAGACAGUUCCUUUCAACUCCACACACAAAAGGUACUGAUGGGCUUUACUUUUGUAUCAGCAAGAUCCACUAUUGCCCACAAGUGGAAGAUUAUGGAAAGAGGCUUGUCUGCAGAGCUAAGCUUGAAGGAUCAAAGCAUACAAAGAAUCUGCAUGGCAGAUGAACACUAUGGAUUACAAAAUUGAAUGUAAGCCUCCUGUACCUGAGUGUGGGAAACCCAUCACAUUGAGUUGCUCAUUGACCAAAAUACCAUCCACCUGAGUGUGACAUUUAUUGGAAAAAGGCUUUGAAGAGCUCUUGGAUGCUACAAUUAAAACAGAGGAGCCGCAGUUGGACAGAAUAUCAAAGCUGUACUCCAGGACAAGUGAAAUAACCUUUACACCCAGCGCAGAAGACCAUGAAGUAAAAUUCUUGUUGAAAUAAACCUUGCAAGAAAAUUGUACGAAAGGGAUAUAAAGUCAUGCUGAAAGAUUUUCCCAAACUUUCAAAUAUUGUUAUUGAACCAAGUGAUGCAGAUUAUGGACAAAGUGUAACUUUAACUUGUGAUGUCACAGAUUUCAAUCCUAAAAAAAUUGGCACACAGUGGCUCCUGGGAGAUAAUUCACUAACAAACGGUGUGGUCACAGAGGAUUUAGACAUGCCCUGUUAUGGUUGUUACAAAUUAACUUCCGUGUUUGAACUAAGAGCUACUGCUUUAGUUUGUAAUAAGACUAUUCGUUUCAAGGUGAACCACGAAAAUUGACAAAGCCUGUUACAAGAGAAGUGUAUUUAAAACUUCCAGUCAACACCCUGUUUUGACUGAAAUAAAGGCAAGCCAAGAUCAUCAGAAUAUCCUCCUUGAAAUUUCUAUAUCACAAUUUGCUCCUCAUGAUAUACAAGUCAGAUGGUACCAAGGCUGUAGACAAAUACCUGAAAAUAUCAAUCCCAGGAAUAUUGAGAUUGGAAAAGAUCACUUAUGUUAUUUUGUUAGUAAAAUAUACUUAAAUCCAAAAGAACUGCGCUUUGGGAAGACAAUACGAUGUGAAGUUAAACAUUCAACAUCUACUGAGGAAAAAAGCUUAACACUGAACAAAACAGAUUUCUCUGAUCUUGAGGAAACCCAACAUCAUCACCAUGAGUCAUAACCAUUAUGAACUCCUUCAAAGUAAGCUCUCUGCAGAUGCAAUAACAGUUGGAAAAUAAUUAUGUUUUGCUAUUUUUCUCGCUACAAAGUAAUCCUUCAAAAAAUUCCUAUCUUGGCUCAACACACAGCUGAUAUCAAAGGUCUCUGAAAUCAACUCUAGCCAUUCCACUCACUGCUUUUGCUCAGGGAUGGCAGAUGUGAGUGUAUUGAAAGCCCAGGUGGCAUCUUUCCAGGAAAGGAAGAAACUACAAACGUCUACAAGACCAUGGUGAAGACUAUUCUAGCCAUCCUUUGGAUGAAAUUGUCUGAGUUAGAUUUCAGCUGUGCAAAAUUCUUGGACUGGGAUUAAUGGAGUUACAUGAGAAGAGUUUGAACCCGUUAAAUGCAGUGGCAGGUUUCCAUUUUUCUAACUACCGGUUUGCUCAUGCCCUCUCCUCCAGGUGGUGGGUGGAGCCUGAUUCGCAGAAACCCACCUCUGGUUAAAUCUAAGGAAGUGGAUAACGUCUUCAGUGCUGUGGGUGUAGCCAACUGUAUAUUACAUCACUGUUUACCUGGUUGGAUAAUGUCUUCCAGGAGGGGAUAUACAAACGAUCCAAGCAGAAUAAAUGCUUUAUUAUUGUAAAAAUAAUAGAACUUUUAAAGACGUGGUAUUCCAUCUCCCCUUCUGGAAAACUCUGGUUGCAGCAAUAUUGGACAAUCAUAGUUUUCGUUCUUUUUACUCUUAAUCCCAGUUUGAUGGGGUGUGGAUUGGGCAGCAUAACAUGACGUUUGUAUUCUGGUAAACUAGAGUUGUUUUAUUAAAAUUGUUCCUUUUAAGAUUUUUAUUUUUAAUUGGCUUUUUUGUAUAUAUGUACA